GACGAACGCUGGCGGCGUGCUUAACACAUGCAAGUCGAACGGAAAGGCCCUGCUUUUGUGGGUGGCUGGGCGGACGACGGGGUAAUAAAACGGGACGUACCCGCCCUUGGCGUUUGGGGAACCUCAAGCAACUCGGGUUAAUCACACGAUCGAGGGCCUGCAGCCUGGGGGGGGGUGGGAAGGUUCGGCCGGUGGGGCUGGUACCGGGGCUUAUCGGCUUUGUGGUGGGGUAGUGGCUUACCCAGGCUGUGUAGGGUGGCCGGCCUGAGAAGGUGAACGGCGCCAAUGGGACUGAGAUACGGACCAGACGGCUACGGGAGGCAGCAGUCGAGAAUAUUGCACAAUGGGCGGAAGCGUGAUGCAGCAACGCCGGGGGCGGGAUGACGGUCUUCGGGUUGUAAACCGCUUCCGCCUGUGACGAAGCGUGAGUGACGGUAAUGGAUAAAGAAGCACCGGCUAACUACGUG
This 467-nucleotide ribosomal RNA is filed under the name uncultured bacterium. Its description in RNAcentral is "partial 16S ribosomal RNA". It matches the Rfam family "Bacterial small subunit ribosomal RNA", at positions 28 to 507 of the family's 1533-position model. The record is from RNAcentral.